GACGAACGCUGGCGGCGUGCUUAACACAUGCAAGUCACGGGGGUCCCGCAAGGGAUAACCGGCGAACGGGUGCGUAACACGUGAGCAACCUGCCGUACUCAGGGGGAUAGCCGGCCCAACGGCCGGGUAAUACCGCAUACGAUUCUUCGGGGGAGUCCCCGGGGAAGGAAACCUCUGGGGGAGUACGAGGGGCUCGCGGCCUAUCAGCUAGUUGGUGCGGUAACGGCGCACCAAGGCGACGACGGGUAGCUGGUCUGAGAGGAUGGCCAGCCACAUUGGGACUGAGAGACGGCCCAGACUCCUACGGGAGGCAGCAGUGGGGAAUCUUGCGCAAUGGCCGAAAGGCUGACGCAGCGACGCCGCGUGGGGGAUGAAGCAUUUCGGUGUGUAAACCCCUGUUGCCCGGGACGAACAGCGCUUUUCGAGGCGCCUGACGGUACCGGGUGAGGAAGCACCGGCUAACUCCGUGCCAGCAGCCGCCGUAAC
Molecule: ribosomal RNA, 486 nt
Filed under: uncultured bacterium
Lineage: Bacteria
Description: bacterial SSU rRNA
Rfam family: Bacterial small subunit ribosomal RNA
Source: RNAcentral